RNAcentral lists this long non-coding RNA (612 nucleotides) under Homo sapiens (human). RNAcentral describes it as "long non-coding RNA NONHSAT148492.1". Lineage: Eukaryota; Metazoa; Chordata; Mammalia; Primates; Hominidae. The record is from RNAcentral.
CGCCAGGCCGGGUGUGGGGGACAGUGGGCAACAUAACUGGAGGCCUGUCCACGUGAGGCAUGCAGCGUGGUGAGUGAGGCAAACGGCAGCCAAGGACUCGCGGGAGCAUCUGAUUACGCACGGGGUGAACGCUGGAGCACCUACUAUCCUGCAGGCUCCAGGGGACAAGAGCCCAAGUGAGGCUGCCAGGCGGGAGGCUGCUGCAGGGGACCAGGUUGGCUCAGAAAACCGGAGGUGAAGCUGAAGCAGCCCAGCUGGCCCUAAGAAGCCCUGGACGCUCCCUCCCAUCCUCACAUCGUUGAGUCAAUGCUAUUAUUUGAAUGUCUGUGUCCCCUCCAAAAUUCAUGUUGGAACUUAAUCCUUAAGGAGCAGUUUUAAGAGAUGGGGCCUUUAGGUCAUGAGGGCUCUGCUCUAUGAAUGGAUUAGUGUCUUAUAAAAGGGCUUGAGGGGGCCAGUUCCCCCCUCUUCAGUCCCAUAUGCCAUGUGAAGACACAGUUCAUGGUGCCAUCUUGGAAGCAGAGAGCAACCCUUAACAGACACUGAACAAGCCCGUGCCUUGAUCUUGGACUUCACAGCGUCCAGAACAGUGAGAAAUAAAUUUCUGUUGUUUAC